Molecule: ribosomal RNA, 264 nt
Filed under: uncultured bacterium
Lineage: Bacteria
Description: partial 16S ribosomal RNA
Rfam family: Bacterial small subunit ribosomal RNA
Source: RNAcentral
GAUGAACGCUAGCGGCAGGCUUAACACAUGCAAGUCGAGGGGUAUAGUUCUUCGGAACUAGAGACCGGCGCACGGGUGCGUAACGCGUAUGCAAUCUACCUUUUGCAGAGGGAUAGCCCCAGAGAAAUUUUGGAUUAAUACCUCAUAGUAUAGCAGUUUCGCAUGAAACCACUAUUAAAGUCACAACGGCAAAAGAUGAGCAUGCGUCCCAUUAGCUAGUUGGUAAGGUAACGGCUUACCAAGGCUACGAUGGGUAGGGGUCCU